UGGCUCAGAUUGAACGCUGGCGGCAGGCCUAACACAUGCAAGUCGAGCGGAUGAAGGGAGCUUGCUCCCUGAUUCAGCGGCGGACGGGUGAGUAAUGCCUAGGAAUCUGCCUGGUAGUGGGGGACAACGUCUCGAAAGGGACGCUAAUACCGCAUACGUCCUACGGGAGAAAGUGGGGGAUCUUCGGACCUCACGCUAUCAGAUGAGCCUAGGUCGGAUUAGCUAGUUGGUGAGGUAAUGGCUCACCAAGGCGACGAUCCGUAACUGGUCUGAGAGGAUGAUCAGUCACACUGGAACUGAGACACGGUCCAGACUCCUACGGGAGGCAGCAGUGGGGAAUAUUGGACAAUGGGCGAAAGCCUGAUCCAGCCAUGCCGCGUGUGUGAAGAAGGUCUUCGGAUUGUAAAGCACUUUAAGUUGGGAGGAAGGGCAUUAACCUAAUACGUUAGUGUUUUGACGUUACCGACAGAAUAAGCACCGGCUAACUCUGUGCCAGCAGCCGCGGUAAUACAGAGGGUGCAAGCGUUAAUCGGAAUUACUGGGCGUAAAGCGCGCGUAGGUGGUUUGUUAAGUUGGAUGUGAAAUCCCCGGGCUCAACCUGGGAACUGCAUCCAAAACUGGCAAGCUAGAGUAGGGCAGAGGGUGGUGGAAUUUCCUGUGUAGCGGUGAAAUGCGUAGAUAUAGGAAGGAACACCAGUGGCGAAGGCGACCACCUGGGCUCAUACUGACACUGAGGUGCGAAAGCGUGGGGAGCAAACAGGAUUAGAUACCCUGGUAGUCCACGCCGUAAACGAUCUCAACUAGCCGUUGGGA
This 813-nucleotide ribosomal RNA is filed under the name Pseudomonas sp. AKB-2008-RU10. RNAcentral's name for it is "bacterial SSU rRNA". It matches the Rfam family "Bacterial small subunit ribosomal RNA", at positions 20 to 828 of the family's 1533-position model. The record is from RNAcentral. Lineage: Bacteria; Pseudomonadati; Pseudomonadota; Gammaproteobacteria; Pseudomonadales; Pseudomonadaceae.